This 101-nucleotide non-coding RNA is filed under the name Loxodonta africana (African savanna elephant). The record is from RNAcentral. Lineage: Eukaryota; Metazoa; Chordata; Mammalia; Proboscidea; Elephantidae.
GGAAAAACAAAAGGCAGUGAGUUCUCUCAGCCAAUUUCUCAGCCAAUUACAGGUCGACCUUCUCGUCUACCCCGCUCACUGCUGCGCUUGACUGGUCUUUG